This 253-nucleotide ribosomal RNA is filed under the name uncultured bacterium. RNAcentral describes it as "partial 16S ribosomal RNA". It matches the Rfam family "Bacterial small subunit ribosomal RNA", at positions 524 to 776 of the family's 1533-position model. The record is from RNAcentral.
UACGUAGGGUGCGAGCGUUAAUCGGAAUUACUGGGCGUAAAGGGUGCGCAGGCGGCCGCGCAAGUCGAGUGUGAAAGCCCCGGGCUUAACUUGGGAAUUGCGCUCGAAACUACGUGGCUGGAGUGUGGCAGAGGAAGGUGGAAUUCCACGUGUAGCGGUGAAAUGCGUAGAUAUCUGGAGGAAUACCGGUGGCGAAGGCGGCAUCCUGGACCGGCAUUGACGCUGAUGAGCGAAAGCUAGGGGAGCAAACGGG